Molecule: long non-coding RNA, 877 nt
Organism: Glycine soja
Lineage: Eukaryota; Viridiplantae; Streptophyta; Magnoliopsida; Fabales; Fabaceae
Exons: 2
Source: RefSeq, a predicted model, not a curated record
AAAGGUCUCUGUCUUAAUGGUGAAAAUUGCAUGGUUGUUCGAUAAAACUGUUGUGAUAAUGUACAACACAAUUAUCGAUAGCUUAUGCAAAAAUAAUGUUUGUUUCUGAAAUGGUUGGUAAGAAAAUUUCUUUCCAUAUCAUCACUUACAAUUCCUUAAUCCAUUAGAAUAACAAGUGGGUUUGUUGACUGAAAUAGUUGAAAAACCUAAUGUUAUUACUUAUCAUUCUUAGAUAUUUUUUAAUGGAUGGGUAUUGUUUAGUUAUAAUAUCAUAAGAAUAAUAAAUAAGGUUAUGAAUCUCUUUAAUAAGAGAUAUAUGUUAAAAGUCACUCAAUCAAUAUUCUUUAUUAAAUGUUUUGUGUAGAAAUCUUAUUUUGAUUAAACAAUUGCAUUAUUCAAAAGCAAUUGCAUUAUUCAAGAAAAUUAAAGAUUAUGCAAAGGUGGAAGACUUGAGAAUGCACAAAAGAUUUUUCAAGAUCUUUUUCAUGAAAUGAUAGCUUGGAAGAAUGUUUGGAAGAUUUAAAUUAGAUUUUACUAUAAUAUCUCAAUAAAUUGGAAUGAUUCAGCGAAGUCUCCGAUGAUGACAGAUAUAAUGGAGUCCAAAUGAAUUCUCUGAUGAUGGUAGAUAUAAUGGAGUCCAAAUGAAUGAACUUUAUCAUAUUUAUAAAUAUGAUGACUUAAGACAAAUAAGUCCAAGUUUUUUGAAGUAUUAGGAUGUUUAUAAUUGUUGAGUGACAUAAUUGCUGAGAAAGAUGAAAGAGAAAUGAUUAAGCUGAAAUGUUCAUUACAACACAAUCAUUGAUAGCUUAUGUAAAGAUAAACUUGUAACUAAGACAUGUUAUUUAUUUUUAUUACUUUUCUGUAGAACUUCUCUUGA